This 353-nucleotide unclassified non-coding RNA is filed under the name Hevea brasiliensis (rubber tree). The record is from RNAcentral. Lineage: Eukaryota; Viridiplantae; Streptophyta; Magnoliopsida; Malpighiales; Euphorbiaceae.
GUACAAUUGAACGAUAUCCUCAGCAGUGGGAGGGGGCACAAUAUCAUGGCCAGAAACCCUGAAUUCGUCAUCCCGCUGCUUUAGCUGAGCUCUAAACCGGUGAGCUAUAGAAGGGGGAGGCUUUUGUGGCAACUCAUUGGGCAUAGUCCUGCCGCUGGUGGUGGGGAGUUGGCGGUCGGAUGGAUAUGCUGAAUUUCUAGGGUUUCCUCGUGAAAUUAAGAGCUUUUCCGAUUCCAUGAAAGGGGUCAUGAAAUGCAAAGUGUAUCGAUUGAGUUCAGAAUUUUAUCCCGCCAAGGAGGGAAGAGAACUGAAUUAGGGUUUCUUCCCACCAUAGAAGAAGCUUCCGUCCGCUG